This 468-nucleotide ribosomal RNA is filed under the name uncultured bacterium. RNAcentral's name for it is "partial 16S ribosomal RNA". It matches the Rfam family "Bacterial small subunit ribosomal RNA", at positions 28 to 507 of the family's 1533-position model. The record is from RNAcentral.
GACGAACGCUGGCGGCGUGCUUAACACAUGCAAGUCGAACGGAAAGGCCCUGCUUUUGUGGGGUGCUCGAGUGGCGAACGGGUGAGUAACACGUGAGUAACCUGCCCUUGACUUUGGGAUAACUUCAGGAAACUGGGGCUAAUACCGGAUAGGAGCUCCUGCUGCAUGGUGGGGGUUGGAAAGUUUCGGCGGUUGGGGAUGGACUCGCGGCUUAUCAGCUUGUUGGUGGGGUAGUGGCUUACCAAGGCUUUGACGGGUAGCCGGCCUGAGAGGGUGACCGGCCACAUUGGGACUGAGAUACGGCCCAGACUCCUACGGGAGGCAGCAGUGGGGAAUAUUGCACAAUGGGCGGAAGCCUGAUGCAGCAACGCCGCGUGCGGGAUGACGGCCUUCGGGUUGUAAACCGCUUUCGCCUGUGACGAAGCGUGCGUGACGGUAAUGGGUAAAGAAGCAACGGCUAACUACGUG